AACCAUGUGCAUAUAAUACUGACAAUACAAAUACUCAUAAUAUUUUCGUCUUACACCUCAAAAUGUUUAUACACAACCUGCAUAUUAAACUUUGUACUAAUUUCUUGGAGGAAUUUAUCAUGGUCCUCUAAAAACUUGUGCAUGGUUACACCAUGCACUUUUAACCUAUAGUAGCAGGUUUUACAGGUUUAAAAAAAAAAAAUUACAAUAAUAAUAGCACUAAUCACCAACCUCUCUCCCCUCCACCACCAUCACCCAGAACCCACCCACCACCAUCACCACCACCGGUGAACAGCGGUGAAGUCGCCGGAGAAGAACUGAGGGUUGGAACCUCUUCUCCUCGUGGUGGUGUUCGUUCACACAACCGCCGUCAUCAACCACCAGCGCAUCUUCUCCGACGAUGAUGAACUCGGAUCUGAGAGGAUGGAACCCAGAUCUGAGACCUUGUGGCGUUGGUUGGUCCUUCUUGACACCCUUCGUCAUCCUAAGAGGGAGAUAAAAGCUUCAAACUUUUCAAACUUACAUCCAUAGAAGCUUCAAAUCGAUCCAGACGUUGAAGGCUUUCGUUGAGGGCUUUUGCCUCCUCCACGCAGAUGACGAGUUACAGCGCGGGGAGGAGGAGACUCAUAUCUUGAUUAUCUUCAACAUUUUUCUUGAACUCGAUUUGCUGUUUUUGGAAAAAUCACUUCCUACUGAAUUUUUAUUGUAAUCGAAUUUUAUCAUCCAAUUUCUGAAACAAUGUAUCUGUUCUCUUUC
This is a long non-coding RNA of Lotus japonicus, 756 nucleotides long. RefSeq lists it as uncharacterized. Lineage: Eukaryota; Viridiplantae; Streptophyta; Magnoliopsida; Fabales; Fabaceae. The transcript is spliced from 2 exons. The record is from RefSeq and is a predicted model, not a curated record.